Molecule: long non-coding RNA, 10731 nt
Filed under: Fragaria vesca (wild strawberry)
Lineage: Eukaryota; Viridiplantae; Streptophyta; Magnoliopsida; Rosales; Rosaceae
Description: long non-coding RNA (FVES_LNC005371)
Source: RNAcentral
GUUGUCAGCUCCAAGCACAGUUAGAGCUUCAUCUUUCUUAGACAUGCUUGUCCUGAAAACGGUCACCUAGAGUCCGAAGGCCUUGCCGAAUUUCACAGCCAUGUGACCAAGACCGCCGAGGCCGAUGACCCCUAGGGAUUUACCAGGUUUGUUCAUCUUAUGGUCCGUCAUGGGAGAGUAAACAGUAAUGCCAGCACAAAGCAGUGGUGCUGCUGAAGCCAAGGGGUAGUCCUCUGGUAUUUUGAAGCAGUACCUAUAGUUUCGUGACAAAAUAAGAUUACUAAACACAGUUGCUUCAUCGACUGGAAAUGUAGAUCGACUUGGCUAGCAAAUAGUAAUACUUACCUUUCAUGGACAACAGUGAAAGUGGAAAAACCUCCAUGGGUGAUGGUGCCGUCGUAAUCUAACCGAUUGUAAGUUAACACUACUCCUUUAUCACAGUAAACCUCUAGGCCAUCGUUACAAUACUCACAAUCUAUACAUGAGUUGGUAUACGUCCCAACUCCAACAUGGUCUCCAACUUUGAAGCGAUGAACAUUUGGACCAACCUCUUGCACAAUAAUGCCAGCAAUCUCAUGUCUGUUGUUAAUUUGAAGUUCAAUAUAUCGAUUAAUAUACCAGAUAAGAGCUCAAUUAAACCACUUGGAACAUUUACUUGGCAAUUUUUGAUACAAACUUACCCAGGCGCGCACCAUAGGAUAGGUCAUUGCAUCUCCACGUUUGUUCCUUGGCCACACGACCUUAGCAUAACAAACUUCGCAAUGUGUAAUCUUUCUCAAAACAUCGUCAGCUUAAAUAUUUCUGAUGAAAAAAUAAAAAAAAUAAAAAUUCAAUCUUAGCUAGCUAGCCAAUUAAUGUAUUAUCAAUCGAGCGAGCAAUGCAGUUUGAAUGUGUUUAGACAAAAUGUUUCGUGUGAAAAUGCCUACUAGAACAAGCAUUCUAGCACAUUUUCACACCAAUAUGCAUGGAGUAGUCCUGUCGCACAUUUGGUGAACAUAUUUGGCGAAUUGGCGAGAUUGAUGGAGAUUUGAGGAUGCCUUCGGUUAAUUCGUAAGGCGAUAGGACACCGGAAGCAUCCGUUGCAGCCCAUCCCAAGCAUUUGCCAUUUGCCUUUGCCAUGCUACUUAUGGAAAAUGGAUAGCUGAAAGUUGAAACUAAUAGCCCACUAGUGAACAUGGAUUCAAACACAAAAUAAGCCUCAUGAAAACUAGUGUAACGACCAGGCCCUAAACAAGCCUACCAUAAUACAUACUAAUAUUGAAGACUUCUAAUUGUACAUGUGAGAUCCCACAUCGUCCGAAAAAGGGGAGGUGAUGUGCCUUAUUGGUGUGCAAACAAACCUCCCCAAUUUCGAGUUGAUCGAUUCCUUCCGCUCGGAGAAAAUACAUUAUUAGCUUUUUUUUAUAUAUAAGUUGGUGGAAGUAGACAACGGAAAGUCAUGUGCAAUGUGAUGGGGUUUAAAUAGAAGAAGAGACAAAAUGCAUGUGUUGGUGGAUCGAUUGACUUAAAAUUAGGGCUGCCACUCGGUCGGUUCGAAUCGGUAAUGGGCGUUACCAACUUCAAAACCAAAGCUUUCGGUAAUGAAAUAUGACUUUCAAUUACCAAAUCAAAAACUUCGGUAUGAGAUAAAUCUUACCAACUUCGGAUGUCGGUUUUUCGGUAUUACCAAACUUCACAACAAAUAUAUUUUCAAAAUAUAACAAAACAAUACAAAACUAUAAAAUUUAAAUAUCACUUGAUUUUGUAGAGUCUGAUAAUAUAUAUACAAAACCGAGGGUUAUUGCUGUCGGAAAUGUUUCAUUAUUACCGACGGUAUCGUUGUUCCCCUCGUAAAUAAUUAUACCAUUUUCCGUCGACUUAAAGUGUCGUCAAAAACUAAAAUACGCGCCAACAUUUCCCGCCACUCUGUUGUUUGAUCGAGGAAGUGCAAGCAGGGUUGAACACUUUGAUUCAGAUCCAAACAUUAUCGAGUAUGGUUUAAUUUUCUACCGAAAUAGUCAGGAUGUAAAUGUUUCCAAAUUUUUAUAUGAACAAGUUAUGUGUCAUCUAUGUGAAAGUAUGUGUGUGGAAGAGUCAACCAAAAUAAGUCACAUAAGGGCAGUAAAAGCUUUUUUGUGUAAUAAGUGACGUUAAAUUAUGGUUGACCGCUUUGAUCAAGACCCGAGCAUUAUUGAGUACAAUUGAAUUUUCUAUCAUAAUUGUAUUAUACUAUAAUGAUCACAUUAGACGGUCGAAUUUUAAUUUUGUGAAUUGUAAUCAUUGGAACCACAACAUGCCUGGUAAUGUGGUAUAACUUAUUUAGUAAGUUAUAUGCAUAUAUACAUCUUUGUGAACCAACUACAAAGAGGAAGCAAAAUUUUCAAAACCUUGUGAACUAUGAUGUGAUCAAUAUAAUGAAAUACGACUAUGGUAGAAAAAUUAGGUAUUUUUGAUAAUGUUUGGCCUUGAUCAAAGCGGCUAACCCUAUUUACGCUUGUGCUUCCUAUGGGGAGCCCUAUCAUCAAGAGAGGUAAAAACAUUCCUAAAUUUUUACAUGGGCGGUUACAUGUCAUCUAAGUGGGUUUGUCUAUGUGUGUGUGUGAUGAAUCGACUAAGACGGGUAGGUAAGAGCGUUUUUAUAUAACAAGUAACAUUGAAUUAAAGUUGAUCGCUUUAAUUGAGACCCGAAUGCUACCAAGUAUAGUUGAAUUUUAAUAUUCAUUGUCUUGUUUUUUACUAAAUGGUAUAUACAAUUGAAAACGUGAGAUAAGAUUAUUAGUCUGUGUGUUUUUAGAAAUACAAGUCUUUAAAUAAUUAGAAUUUCGGUAAAUUCGGUAUUUACUAAAAACCAAACCAACUUUUUCGAUAUUUCUCGGUUUUGGUUUUUUUGAUUUCGAUUACCAAAAUUCGGUUUACCAAAUCAUAAAUUUUCAGUCGGUUUUCGAUCAGUUUGGUAUUCACCAAACCAAGUGGCAGCCCUACUUAAAAUGCAUGGAAAUAAAUCUAUCAGAAGAGAGGGCGCUGAGAAUGACUAGAGAUUUCUUUUACUUUUCGUUGGACUGUAUACAAUUACAAAACAGGGUUUUCAUCACUUGAUAUGAGUUAUUAUACAACUAUUCUAAGUUAGAAAGAGCUGAGUCAAAUAUUUGCAGUUGUGUAUCUAAAUCUAUUUUUCUUCAGCAUUUAUAAACCUGUAUAUAAAUUUGCACUAUUUUUGGGUACGUCUUCUUCUUCACUUCCACUAGUAUCAUAAUCAAGCUUUUGUUCUUCUUUGCUUCCAAAAUUUGAAGGAAGUGUAUGCAACAAGGUUUUAGUCAUCAGGUUUCUUGUCCUAAAAAAAUGCAAACAACUGUAGCAAUGUUUCCAUGAAAACUAGCAUAAUAUAUAUAAACAGCCAGGCCGGAUGUAGAGCGCACGUGCGCACUGGUUUAAAGUGUGCACGUUCCUCCGUUUGCCAUCGUCCGGCGCCGAUGACGGCGUGCCUCCACCUCAGCGGACUCCAGCAGCGUCCCCGAUCACUUUCCCUCCCCGGUGAGUUCGCCGAAUUCCAGUUUCUAGCGAGAUCGACUUUAUUUGAAGUUUCAGGUGAUCUCGCUGGAAAAUUGGAAAAAAAGAGACUCGCCGGGGAGGGAAAGUGGUCGGGGACGCUGCUGGAGUCUUCUGGGGUGGAGGUGCGCCGUCGUCGGCACUAGACGAUGACGAACGGAGGGACGUGCGCACUUUAAAGAGAGUGCGCACGUGCGCUCUCUAUCGUUUUCGUAUAAACAGCUAAAUGUGCAUAACUUACAGAAGAGCAGUAUUUUCAACUACUUCAGUUUGUUAUGCUCCAUAGAGUUACCAUUUUUCAUCACAAGAUGUUAAUGGAUCCCAAAUUCCCACAUCUGCACCAUACAAAUCUUUUAGUAUCCAUGCUCACAAGACUGAAACUCCACAUUACACAAAAUUUGAAGUUAAUAUAUAUAUAUAUAUAUAUACAUAUAUAUAUAUAUACAAUUUUAAUUACAAAAUUGAUUAAUUACAGUGAUCAAUUCAUACCUGAAAUCAUCCAAGCUGGCUAACUCGCCUGCAGAAACAAUCAAAUCAAGCUGGUACUGCUCGAAGGGUCUCAGAUCUUUGUCCAAUAUUCUUCUUGCCUAUAUAUAUAUAGUUCCUAUCCAGAGCGAAUUAAAGUGUGAAUGUCCUUUUUUGGCUCACUUUUCGGUCACGUAUCCACAUCUCCGCCGUUCAGUUUUUAGAACCUAAUGUAUAGAUCACUUAUGCCAAGUUUCAUCCAAUUUGACGAUCGUUUGGGCUUUCGCAAUCGUGAUUUACAUGAACAUUUCUGGUUAGACAGAUUUUUGUCUGUUCAUGCAUUUCACACAAUUCAACACCUUAAUGAUUAUUAAAUUAGAUGAAACUNNNNNNNNNNNNNNNNNNNNGGCGAGGGCGCGCCUCCACCCUAGCGGACUCCAGCAGCUUCCCUGACCUCUUUUCAUCUCCGGCGAGUCCGCCGAAUUCCAGUUUUCCGGCCAGAUUACCCAAAACUUCAAACAAAGUCAAUCUGGCCAGAAAACUGGAAUUCGGCAGACUCACCGGGGAUGGAAAGAGGUUGGGGAAGCUGCUGGAGUCCGCUGGGGUGGAGACACGCCCUCGCCGGCGCCGUACGGUGGCGAACGGAGAGAAAUCCGCACCGUAAGGCGGUGCGAACGUCCGUAAGGCCGUGCGAACAUCCGUAUCAAAAACGAACGUAUAUAUAUAUAUAUAUAUAGAUUAAUUAAAGUUUAUGUACUUAUUUUAUUGAAAUAUUACACUGAUCAAUCCAUACCUGAAAUCAUCAAACCUUGCUAACUCGCUUGUAGAAAUAAUCAGAUCAGGCUGGUACUGGUCGAAGGGUCUUACAUCUUCGUCCAAUAUUCUUCUUGCCUCUAUAUAUGUGUGUGUAUAAAGAUAUUAAUUGGGGUUUAUAUGCUUAUUUGAUUUAAAUAUUCAUUAUUAAGAAACUAAAAACACAAAAACACAAUUAUCUAUUCCAAAAACACAAAAUUAGCCCACAAUACAUUGGUUAAUUUUGGUCAAGAUUAGGAUAUGCUCUAUCAAAUCUGGCUGGUAUGACUAUCCUCAACCAAAUCUGGCCAGUAUGACUAUUCUCGACCAGAUUUGACUAGGUUGGGAAUCGACCAGAUUUGCAUGUGUUUUCAUGUCGAAGUUAUGCAAUGACAGCCAAAUGGUUGAAGGCCUAACUGCAUGUGCUUUGAGAAAAUUAUGGGUUUCUUAGUGCUAAAUGCUCACCCCUAAAUCACUAAUUUCAUUUUCUAAAGUAGUUUUGAAUAAUAAAGAUGAACCACCAUAAAUAAAAUCACUGAAAUCAAACACCAAUAUAGAUGAAUUUGAACUAUAAUACUUCGAACUGUAAUUUAACAUCAAUGUAGAGUGUUUGAUUUUACCUUAUUUUUUUAUGUCUGGAAUCCAGUAGGUGGCUGGAUUACGAAGAUUGAUAUUAUAAGCAUCGAGAACACAGAUUUAGGAAUGCCGAGAAAACAGACAUGUCUAUGAGAUAGAAACGAAGCAAGAAAUUGUAAGAUCUUAGUUGGUUUGAGAAUGCGGCAGAGAGACAUCAUUAUAUAGUGAAAAAAAAAAUAGAGAUUUAGGGUUAGAAGGGUACAGAGGUAUUUAUAUGUAGCAACGUAUCAAAAUAUUGUGGUAAUUGUUGCCUUCAGGCAAUUUUGUAUAAGUUGAGUCAAAUUAUCAAAACGUAUCGUUUUAUGAAAUUUAUAAUGGAUUGAACGCCUAUAAUAACUAGAAAAUUUGGAUACUCAAUCUUAAUUCGAUCUUUUGAAAGAUUUUCUACCUUAAUAUGUUUAUCAGGAAGAAGAAACGUUGGCUUCCCAAUUUAUCACUAGUGCUACACAGUGUUAGCUGUAGGGGAAAUAGUGGCAUCAAAUCAUCUAAAACAAGCCGGCAUUAUUGAGAAAACAACUUUGCAUUCCCAAUUUAUCACAAGUACUACACAAAUCAAUUGCAAUGGUAUUUAACAACAAUUGCUCCAAAAAGACACACCUAAAGCUUUCCAAAGAUUAAAACAACAAUCACUCGAUAAAGCAUUGGUACUUAACAUGGGAUGGAAUCGGUUCUGUACCCCGUUUUGUUAUGAAAGUUUCUACUAAACUAGACUAGAAAGUACACAAACAAGUAUUCUAUUGCAGAGAUGAUAUUGAAGAUAAUGCAUGCUAUCACAAUUCUAUAUGCUGCCAAUCUGAGAAUGGAUCGAGGAUGCUAUACUGGACCAACCUAUUUCUUCUUUGCACUUUGGACCGCGUCUUCCUUCAUCUAAUCAUCUUCACCAACUCAACAAAACGUUGUUGAGAGGUAUGAAUAGAAUUGCCGAUCGAAUCUAAAAUUUUAGAUAAAAUUAAGCUUGUUCUUUUUAGAAGCAAAACAAUCUAAUCAAACGAUACAUUCUCUUACCAAUUCCAGCAAACCUCUCCCUGCAGCGCCGUGGAUUGCCAAACGUGACCUAUGUGUAAGUGUGAGUCGUCUGUUUCUGAUUUAUAAAAUCUUUAUACAUAUGAAGCUUGGUGAUCUUUUUGUUUUUAAGAACCAGAAGUGUGACGUUGGUGCAGAUCAGUCAGUGUUUUGGUCAGUGGAACCAACCACCAAAUUGAUACCCUAAUUUCAAAUCAAGACCGGAAAGCAAUGAGAACUCGCAUUAUUUUGAUUUAAUCCUUCAAAGUUCCAGCCACUCAUAUCAGUGAGGCAGCCACUUAUUCAUAUCAAAAAGAAGAAAAAACUUAAAGAACACCAAAUCCCUAUUACAUCAAGUUUAAAGACUUCAUAUUUAUAUGCUCAUUUAUAUGCUCAUAUAUUGUUGCAAUAAUCUUCAUUUCAGGGAGUUUCCAAUGUCUACCACAAAGCGGUACUUGACAUCCUUCUUUAUGAGCCUCUCAAUAGCUUCAUUCACAUUCUGAAUUGGAACAACUUCUAUGUUUGGAUAUAUCUGGUGAGCAGAACAGAAGUUUAACAUUUCUUGAAUCUGUUUUGUACCACCUGCUACGCUACCGGUAAUUGAUCUCUUACCUGAUCACAAAAUUACAAAGAUACCUCAACUUCAUGAAUGAAACACUCAUGUAAAACUUAAAAUGAAAAGUUAUAUAUAUGAGAAUUGCUUAUGUAAAAUGAACUACUACAAUAAGUACCUAUAAGAAGGCUCAUAGGGCUCAAUUUGAUUUCAUUUGGGGCACCCACAAGGACUAGAACACCAGCAGUCUUCAGUAGUGACAUGUACAAGUCGAACGGGUGAUCACCAGAUGCUGUGUCAACGAUGAAGUCAAGUGACUUAGCCAGCGCCUACAUUCGAAAAAAACCGAUUUUAAGUCUUGAAAUUGUCAUGGUUCAGCGUUGGAGUUUAUGUUGUUGUCAAAUGCAUGAUUCUACUACCUUCAUCUGGUCUUGGUCAGACGAGACCACGAAGUUGUCAGCUCCAAGCACAGUUAGAGCUUCAUCUUUCUUAGACAUGCUUGUGCUGAAAACGGUCACCUUGAGUUUGAAGGCCUUGCCGAAUUUCAUAGCCAUGUGACCAAGACCACCGAGGCCGAUGACCCCUAGGGAUUUACCAGGUUUGUUCAUCUUAUGGUCCAUCAUGGGAGAGUAAACAGUAAUGCCAGCACAAAGCAGUGGUGCUGCUGAAGCCAAGGGGUAGUCCUCUGGUAUUUUGAAGCAGUACCUAUAGUUUCGUGACAAAAUAAGAUUACUAAACACAGUUGCUUCAUCGACUGGAAAUGUAGAUCGACUUGGCUAGCAAAUAGUAAUACUUACCUUUCAUGGACAACAGUGAACGUGGAAAAACCUCCAUGGGUGAUGGUGCCGUCGUAAUCAAACCGAUUGUAAGUUAACACUACUCCUUUAUCACAGUAAACCUCUAGGCCAUCGUUACAAUACUCACAAUCUCUACAUGAGUUGGUAUAAGUUAUAAGAAUGAAUAAUUGAUAGAAUGGAAUAGAUAGUCUGUUAUUGAUUCUGAAUCGUAUACAUAUACAGAGACUUCUAGCUAUUCCUACAAGUCAGGAAUCAACUACAAUUAAGGAUAUCUAUUUACAAUAGGAAAGAUAUGGAUAUCUGAUGUACAGCUAAUAUAUGCAGAUCUUCUAUUCUAAAUAGGAAAGAUAUGGAAGAUUGAUUCUCUAACACUCCCCCUCAAGAUGGAGAGUGGAUAUCCUGCACUCCCAACUUGCGAAUCAUAGGAACAAAGAUUUCCUUCCCUAAGGGCUUUGUUAAUACAUCUGCCAGCUGAUGUGUAGAACUCACAUAUCUUGUAGUCACAGAGCCAUCUUGAAUCUUAUCUCUAAUGUAAUGACAAUCCAUCUCAAUGUGCCUAGUACGUUCAUGAAAAACAGGGUUAGCUGCAAUAUGUAAGGCAGCCCUGUUGUCACAAUACAAUAAAGCAGAUUCAUGAUGUGGAAGUCCCAAGUCCCUUAACAAAGAUCGAAGCCAUGACAACUCACAACAAGCUCCUGUCAUGGAGCGAUAUUCUGCCUCAGCAGAUGAAAGAGAAACUGUUUUCUGCCGCUUCGAUCUCCAGAAAUCAAUGAAGGUCCGAGAAAGACACUAUAACCAGUAGUAGACCUUCUAGUAAGUGGACAACCUGCCCAAUCAGNNNNNNNNNNNNNNNNNNNNAAAGCUUCAUUUUGGUACAUGAUUCAAUUUAAUUACUCUAAUAUUUUUUUUAAUAAACGUAUUAACCAAGUAACGCGAUGCAUACCAUAACCGAUCACCAUCGAUAAAGAAAAAGCUUUCUAAAUCACUACCUAUUUAAUUGUCGUUUUAAGACAAUUUUGUAUAAGUUGAGUAAAAUUAUCAAAACGUAUCGUUUUAUGAAGUUUAUAAUAGAUUGAACGCCUAUAAUAAUUAGAAAUAUUUGGAAGAAGAAACGUUGCAUUCCCAAUUUAUGACUAGUGCUGCACAGUGUUAGCAGAAUAGCAGUAGGGGAAAUAGUGACAUCAAAUCAUCUAAGACAAGCCGGUAUUAUUGAGAAAACAGACUUUGCAUUCCCAAUUUAUCACAAGUACUACACAAACCAAUUGCAAUGGUAUUUAACAACAAUUGCUUUAAAAAGACACACCUAAGACUUUCCAAAGAUUAAAACAACAGUCACUCGAUAAAGCAUUGGUACUUAACAGGGGAUGGAAUCGGUUCUGUACCCCGUUUUGUUAUGAAAGUUUCUAAACUAGACUAGAAAGUACACAAACAAGUUUCUAUUACAGAGAUGAUAUCGAAGAUAAUGUGCCAUUACAAUUCUAUAUGCUGCCAAUCUGAGAAUGGUUCGAGGAUGCUAUUUCUUCUUCGCACUUUGGAUCGCGUCUUCCUUCAUCUACACCAACUCAACAAAAUGUUGUUGAGAGGUAUGAAUAGAAUUGCCAAAUCUAAAAUUUUAGACAAAAUUAAGCUUAUUCUUUUUAGAAGCAAAACAAUCUCCUCAAACGAUACAUUCUCUUACAUUCCAGCAAACCUCUUCCUGCAGCGCCGUGGAUUGCCAAACGUGACCUAUGUGUAAGUGUGAGUCGUCUGUUUCUGAUUUAUAACUAGUGCUAAUUUUUGUUCAUAUGAAGCUUGGUGAUCUUUUUGUUUUUAAGGAAGAACCAGAAGUGUGACGUUGGUGCAGAUCAGUCAGUGUUUUGGUCAGUGGAACCAACCACCAAAUUGAUACCCUAAUUUCAAAUCAAGACCGGAAAGAAAUGCAUCUCAUUCACAUUAUUUUGAUUUAAUCCUUCAAAGUUCCAGCCACUUAUUCAUAUAAAAAAGAAGAAAAAACUUAAAGAACACCAAAUCCCUAUUACAUCAAGUUUAAAGACUUCAUAUUUAUAUGCUCAUAUAUUGUUGCAAUGAUCUUCAUUUCAGGGAGUUUCCAAUGUCUACCACAAAGCGGUACUUGACAUCCUUCUUUAUGAGCCUCUCAAUAGCUUCAUUCACAUACUGAAUUGGAACAACUUCUAUGUUUGGAUAUAUCUUGUGAGCAGCACAGAAGUUUAACAUUUCUUGAAUCUGUUUCGUACCACCUGAUGCGCUACCGGUAAUUGAUCUCUUACCUGAUCACAAAAUUACAAAGAUACCUCAACUUCAUGAAUGAAACAGUUAUGUAAAACUUAAAAUGACAAGUAAUAUAUAUGAGAAUUGCUCAUGUAAAAUGAACUACUACAAUAAGUACCUAUAAGAAGGCUCAUAGGGUUCAAUUUGAUUUCACUUGGGGCACCCACAAGGACUAGAACACCAGCAGUCUUCAGUACUGACAUGUACAAGUCGAACGGGUGAUGACCAGAUGCUGUGUCAACGAUGAAGUCAAGUGACUUAGCCAGUGCCUGCAUUCGAACAAAAAAAAAAGCCGAUUUUAAGUCUUGAAAUUGUCAUGGUUCAGCGUUGGAGUUUAUGUUGUUGUCAAAUGCAUGAUUCUACUACCUUCAUCUGGUCUUGGUCAGACGAGACCACGAAGCUGUCAGCUCCAAGAACAGUUAGAGCUUCAUCUUUCUUAGACAUGCUUGUGCUGAAAACGGUCACCUUGAGUCCGAAGGCUUUGCCGAAUUUCACAGCCAUGUGACCAAGACCACCGAGGCCGAUGACCCCUAGGGAUUUACCAGGUUUGUUCAUCUUAUGGUCCAUCAUGGGAGAGUAAACAGUAAUGCCAGCACAAAGCAGUGGUGCUGCUGAAGCCAAGGGGUAGUCCUCUGGUAUUUUGAAGCAGUACCUAUAGUUUCGUGACAAAAUAAGAUUACUAAACACAGUUGC